Molecule: long non-coding RNA, 2875 nt
Organism: Prinia subflava (tawny-flanked prinia)
Lineage: Eukaryota; Metazoa; Chordata; Aves; Passeriformes; Cisticolidae
Exons: 3
Source: RefSeq, a predicted model, not a curated record
CCUUGCUUGCAGCAUGGUAGAAACCCUACUCUGCUCUGGCUGCUCCAGGACCCUUGGCAGCAGAUCCAUGCACGCCUCAAGGCAUCUCGACUGCAAGAGGGAUUUGUUCUGUGUCCGUACUGACUCUGUUGAAAGAAUCCACGGCUGUCUCUCAGGGUUCUAAAGGAGUGCUGUGUUUGGAUUUUUGGCUUCAGAGUGGGAAGUGCUCUGUAACCUGAUGUAACCUGUGGCAUCUCAGCUGUAGGCCAGGAACCCUGGAAAAGCAAGCUCGCAUUCACGAGGAGCCGCUUCCUCUUGAAAGCCCAGCUGUCUUGCAAGAGGUGCCGCACAGGGUAGGAAGAGUUGGGAGCGAACAGUCUGAGGAAGUGGACUGUGGAAGCUGAAGGUUGUCCAGCCAAAGCUGAGUGUGUGGCUCUGACACUGACCAAGGCUGGAAAGAGUUACUGUGUGGACAGAGAAUGUUAGAGCCGGGUGAGCUUUCACAGGAUGAAAGAAGCGAGGAGAGAAUCGAAUGGAAAGAAUUGCUGAGAUCAGGUUUGAGCCCUUUCUUUGGGUUUGGGAUUUGUUUGUGGUUUUUUUUGUUACCUAACACUACCUAGCACUUACUUACUUACUUACUGUGAGAUUUGAAGUUUUCUCCAAAAACUCAGAAUGAAUUUCCCCACUCUGCCCCACUGGUAGCAGCACACAGGAGAACAGAGCCUGUGGUUUGGAUCUUGAGGGAGUUCCAGCAGUACAAGCUAUGAGUUACCAUGUUUCUCCCAAAUUUACAUCCAGCAAAUCUGAGGAAUUACCUCUUGCCUGAGCAUUCCUGGUCUCUGUGACUCUUUAGUAAGAGACAGCUGGGACUGGCCAAGCUGAGACAGGAUCUGUUCCUGUCAAACCAUCUAUUUCCCACGCGGAUGAGAAUCUGGGGGGCAAGUGCCCACAUCACUCCUCACAAAUGCCCACACAUACUUCUGGGGCUGCUGUAUCUAUCUGCUGGAUUUGUCAGCGCCAGCAUUUGCGAAGGAUCACCUUGUGAGCAACUCAAAAGACACAUAAAUAGAGGCAGCAGCAAUUGUCUUGAGUUUACCUUAUGGUAAGGCUUAUGGAUAUUUUUAAUCACUAUAAGAAGGCUUAUGGAUAUUUUUGAUCACUUUCUUAGCACUUGCAAUUACCCCUGCUACCACACAAAAGAAACCGAGGAACAGGAAAGCUCCGCUCUGUAUCUCUGGCAGAAGAAAAGCCAGCAAACCAGUUUGCGUUCACCCCGAUUCCUAGUCCUGUGCUGCAAGUACAGAAAUAUCUUGAGCCUUUGGGAGGGGGACUGGGACUGUGGAACCCAGCUGCAUGUGUCUCCUAGGCCACGUUUUUCUUGGAAGCACCUUUCCUAGUUUCACUGCUUUUUGGAAAUGAACUGUUCUGAGCAGAACCAGUACCUUCAGACUCAGGGUCUGAAAACAAAACAAAACAACCAUAAAAACCACUAAAAAGCCCCCAAACCCACUGCCUAAGAGAACAAAGAAAGAGAAAAUAUACCGGGAUUAUUUUAAUAAACCUGAAUUUGUGGGAGGCACUGGGUUUGUUUUCCCUUCGUGCGGCAGCACGAAGUUUGCACGCAUUUUGCUGCCGCUUUGGCUCUCAAGAACUGGAAAUGCCUGGAUUUCUGCGUGGUUUCCCCAGGUUCUCCUAUUUAGCAGGAGCUGCACGGUGAGGUCGGUGUUCUGAGGGAGGCCCUGGCACAGCUGCCAAAGGCCGGGAACGUGGAGUGUGCAGGGAGCAUCCGGGGGGCUUCUCCCCCCUGAGUUUCUCCCGGGGUGUGCUGCCUGCACUGCUGGAUGUUGGACCCGGCUUUGGGCCGUUCUCCUGCGGUCCCAGCACUGAGUGCUGCCCCUGUGGCCAGACCUUGCCGUGUGCCGGCACCAAACCCGGGCAGCCGGGGCUGCUUUUCCAGCCCUUUGGUGCCACGGGCGGCCCCCGAUUGCCGGAGCUCCCCGGCACCCGGCCUGGACUCACUCUGUGGGGGGGCUUGUUCCAUCUGCCUCAACCGAGGACAUCCUGCCCAGGUUUGACACUUGACUCCCGUUGUUUUUCCUCUUGCAGGCAGCUGGCAAAAGAGGAGAGAGCCCCUGCGAGGCAGAGCCCCUGGAAUGCCCUGUCCUGGUCUGAGGUUCCCACUUUUAUCUCCGACUCCCGGAGAAUUGCUGGAGCAGAACCAGAGAGUGUCCAUUUUAUUUCCUGCCUUUUCCAAUAAACGGUGACUUUCAGCUGGAGUGUGUUCCUGGUGUUAUCCUCCUCCUCCUCCUCCCUGGAUUUGUAAAUAAAUGUCCUGAUUUUGGCCAAGUAGAAUUUUGUUGUUCCAGGCAUUGUGGCUCUUUUGUUUCAUUGAAACUUCCCAACUCUGCUGAGACUUUGAGAUGUCAAAUACAAGUAAGACUGGAGUUUCUUGGGAUUGUUACUCACACAAAAUAGGGAUCCUUCUUGGACAGGAGUAACUUGACGUGUUUAAUGCCGCUUCCCUUUAAAAUCAGAGCAGGGGAAGCAGAUUUGAAAUCAUCAUUCCAUGAACUUGCACCAAAUUCCUCCAAAGCUGCAAAAGUUUUCCUUGUUAGAAAUUCCUGAGCUUGUUUUCCAGGCAAGCUGAGAUUUAGAUGUUCUUUGUUCCUUGGAUUUGCUGGUUUUCCUCUCUCUCAUUUUAGUAAAGAAUUUUUUUUUUUUCAUAUUUUCCAUGCUGAUUGGAAUUUUUGUACUGCUCAGGGCACGUUGCCAAGGAAAUGUACCAAUUUCAUGUUGGUAAAUCAGGCAUUGUUCAGCACCAUAUGCCCACAAGUCUGUAAAUUUCCAGGGAAACUUGCUAAGUGUUGAAUUGCCAUAAUGAAUCUCUUUGUAAAGU